GACGAACGCUGGCGGCGUGCUUAACACAUGCAAGUCGAACGGGAUUUAGUAGACAGAAGCUUCGGUGGAAGAUUACUAAUGAGAGUGGCGAACGGGUGAGUAACGCGUGAGCAACCUGCCUAUGACAGUGGGAUAGCCUCGGGAAACCGGGAUUAAUACCGCAUAAAAUCGUAGAAACACAUGUUUCAACGGUCAAAGAUUUAUCGGUCGUAGAUGGGCUCGCGUCUGAUUAGCUAGUUGGUGAGAUAACAGCCCACCAAGGCGACGAUCAGUAGCCGGUCUGAGAGGAUGAACGGCCACAUUGGAACUGAGACACGGUCCAAACUCCUACGGGAGGCAGCAGUGGGGAAUAUUGCACAAUGGGGGAAACCCUGAUGCAGCGACGCCGCGUGAACGAAGAAGGUAUUCGUAUCGUAAAGUUCUGUCCUAUGGGAAGAUAAUGACAGUACCAUAGAAGAAAGCUCCGGCUAAAUACGU
Molecule: ribosomal RNA, 477 nt
Filed under: uncultured bacterium
Lineage: Bacteria
Description: partial 16S ribosomal RNA
Rfam family: Bacterial small subunit ribosomal RNA
Source: RNAcentral